GGAGAGGUGGCCGAGCGGCUUAAGGCGCACGCCUGCUAAGCGUGUGGGGGAAACUCCGCGUGGGUUCGAAUCCCACCCUCUCCGCCA
Molecule: transfer RNA, 87 nt
Filed under: Armatimonadota bacterium
Lineage: Bacteria; Bacillati; Armatimonadota
Description: Armatimonadetes bacterium (groundwater metagenome) tRNA-Ser
Rfam family: tRNA
About the family: Transfer RNA (tRNA) molecules are approximately 80 nucleotides in length. Their secondary structure includes four short double-helical elements and three loops (D, anti-codon, and T loops).
Source: RNAcentral